UUUUGAAGGAGAUCAAAUUUAUAACAAAAUAAUUUAGUGAAAGUGAAAGCUUGUGGAAGAUGUUGGAAUCAUCCAUCCUGAAAAUUGAAGUCUUCUGUUUAUCAACAGAACAGCUAAGAAGCUAAUCUAAGAAUGACCAGCACCUGAAAGAUGUAGACAACAUUUUGCAGAAUGAUAAAUGGUAUCCAGUACUGGACUGUGUCUGAGAGGCAUCAACUGAAUGUGGAUGUUGAUGACCUGGACUGUCAGGGUCCACCUCUACCUCCCAGAGUCAGAGCCCACAAGACAAAAUAAUUCUGAAUACUGUUCCAUGGGGGUAAUCUACUAAUUCAAAAUGCCUGCCUGUGCCAAUUUUCAGGUUUUUAUGUAGAUAAGUAUUAGUUAACCUGUUGCAAAAUGAUCUGACAAACAGAAGCAUUUGUGACGUUUCUGAACAGAGAACACUUUGGAAAUAUUUUUUGUGUGACAUGAUUGAUAGAUACAUGCUAUCUCUAGUAAAUCUAAAAUCUUGAAACUCAAAAUCAUCCUUUUAUGGGUGUAGAAGUCAGUGAUUUAAUGAUGCUCUUCCUAACAGUGGUGUGCAUGGAAAGGUUUUCAUUAAAGAGCGUAUGUGGUUUGCAUUUGCAAGAUUCAACUAGCACAGACUCCAAGAAAACCUAAGUUUUUUUGUUUUUUAAAGCAGGUAAGGCCAGGCACUGUGGCUUACACAAGUAAUCCACACACUUUGGGAGGCCGAGGUGGGUGGAUCACUUGAGGUCAGGAUUUCGAGACUAGCUAGGCCACUAGCUAGCCUAACCUGGUGGCACGUGCCUGUAAUUCCAGCUACUCAGGAGGGCUGCCUCAUCUUGAAC
RNAcentral lists this long non-coding RNA (851 nucleotides) under Pan troglodytes (chimpanzee). RNAcentral's name for it is "long non-coding RNA NONPTRT015242". The record is from RNAcentral. Lineage: Eukaryota; Metazoa; Chordata; Mammalia; Primates; Hominidae.